This 174-nucleotide ribosomal RNA is filed under the name Triticum aestivum (bread wheat). Its description in RNAcentral is "partial small subunit ribosomal RNA". The record is from RNAcentral. Lineage: Eukaryota; Viridiplantae; Streptophyta; Magnoliopsida; Poales; Poaceae.
AUGCUGGUGGCUUGGUGCAUCUAGAAGCACCACAAUGCAGCCAUCUCCGUCAGCGCCCAACUCAUCCUAUCUAGCCUCCUUGACACGAUUAGGAUGGAAGCCAGACAUUGGGCAACGACGGGCGCAAGCGGCCUAGCUGCGUUGUUCCCGGCUGUUGAUACUGCUGGCGUUUAG